RNAcentral lists this ribosomal RNA (1217 nucleotides) under uncultured Rhizaria. Its description in RNAcentral is "SSU rRNA". It matches the Rfam family "Eukaryotic small subunit ribosomal RNA", at positions 577 to 1804 of the family's 1831-position model. The record is from RNAcentral.
CGGUAAUUCCAGCUCCAAUAGCGUAUACUAAAGUUGUUGCAGUUAAAAAGCUCGUAGUUGGAUUUCUGCGGGGACGGAGCGGCCGGACGCAACUUGCGUCUCGAGCUAGCGCUUUCCCCGCAUCCUGCCGCGAACCGUGCUACCAUUAGCUUGGUGGCGCUGGGGAUCGGCUCGAUUACUUUGAGAAAAAUAGAGUGUUCAAAGCAGGCCACACGCCUUGAAUAAGUUAGCAUGGAAUAAUGACUAAGGACUUCGGUUCUAUUUUGUUGGUGUUCGGGACUGAAGUAAUGAUUGAUAGGGACAGUUGGGGCGGUCUGUAUUCCAAAGCGAGAGGUGAAAUUCUUAGACCUUCGGAAGACAAACAGCUGCGAAAGCGUUCCGCAAGGAUGUUCCCUUUGAUCAAGAACGAAAGUUGGGGGAUCGAAGACGAUCAGAUACCGUCGUAGUCUCAACUAUAAACUAUACCAGCUAGGGAUCAGUCAACGUCUAAUCAUUCGACUUGAUCGGCACCUUAUGAGAAAUCAAAGCAUCUGGGUUCCGGGGGGAGUAUGGUCGCAAGGCUGAAACUUAAAGGAAUUGACGGAAGGGCACCACCAGCCGUGGAGCCUGUGGCUUAAUUUGACUCAACACGGGAAAACUUACCAGGUCCAGACAUAGUAAGGAUUGACAGAUUGAUAGCUCUUUCUUGAUUCUGUGGGUGGUGGUGCAUGGCCGUUCUUAGUUGGUGGAGUGAUUUGUCUGGUUAAUUCCGUUAACGAACGAGACCCCAGCCUGCUAAAUAGCGCGGCUGAGCUUUGCUCGGUGCGAGCUUCUUAGAGGGACUAUGAUGCGCGAUAGCACAUGGAAGUUUGGGGCAAUAACAGGUCUGUGAUGCCCUUAGAUGUUCUGGUCCGCACACGGGCUACACUGGCGCCUGCAACGAGCAUAUCAGCUGGCCCGAGAGGGUCUUGGCUAAUCUUUUGAACCGGCGCCGUGCUUGGGAUUGACCAUUGCAAUUGUUGGUCAUGCAACGAGGAAUGCCUUGUAAACGCGAGUCAUCAGCUCGCAUUGAAUACGUCCCUGCCCUUUGUACACACCGCCCGUCGCUCCUACCGAUGAAUGUUCCGAUGAAAUUUUCGGAGAGCGCCAGAGAACGGGGCUCUGCCUUGCAGAUCUGGAGGCUCAAAGUCACUUAAAUCUGAACAUUUCGAGGAAGGAGAAGUCGUAACAAGGUAACC